Molecule: long non-coding RNA, 3262 nt
Filed under: Capsicum annuum
Lineage: Eukaryota; Viridiplantae; Streptophyta; Magnoliopsida; Solanales; Solanaceae
Description: long non-coding RNA (CANN_LNC006380)
Source: RNAcentral
UAAAAUAUUUUCUUGCCAUUAGAAAUCCUAAAAAAAAGCUUGUGAAGUGUCAUAUUAAAUAAAAAUAAUAAUGGGUGACUAAAGAAGAACAAAUCUGAAAGAGAGAGAAAGAGACACUAGACUUGCUAGACGGAAAUGUGCAAUGCGAUAUUUGUUCGCUUCUCUGAUUUGGAUAAAGAUAGAGUCGAGCCAUGAGACUCCAAAUAUACUCCCGAGUGUACAUGUGAAAUAAGAAAAGAAUAAGGAUUAGAAAACGAGCUAAAGAUUGGGAUAGAUCAAUGGAAGCACAUAAACACUCAAAUAUUGAAACAUAAACUAUUACGGCUAACGCUGAAUAUUGGAAUAGAUGCCCAAGUCAUACCUCUAAACAAUUGUAAGAAAUAAUCCUAAAAAUAUAAAAAUCUAGAACCAUACACAUGAAUCAGGAAACAAAACAAUAAUGAUAAUAAUAUCAAGACUCAUAUUUUCAUAAACAAUAUCUAAUUUAACUACUACAUCAAAUUCGGGAUAAGUCAACGAGACUUCUAACAAUUUUAAUUUAGAGGAAAAAAAAAGGUGCAUUUUGACCCUUACCUAUGAAAACAUACGUGAAUAAAACUAAACUUCUGAAGAGCUCAUGACCAAAAAAUAAAACCAGUGAUCACUUGGGACUAUUCAAAUUAACUGAAAACCUUAAGAAGCACUGUCAAUCCUAAACAUAUACACUCAUGUUUGUACAAGCCAAAUCCAACCUUUAAAAUGACAAUAUAGACUUUUUACAUUACUGUAAACGUGAGCGUUAGGGCAUUAGAUUAAAUUCUUUUUACAUCUAGGUGGACAACACACGUAUAUGGAAUUAUGUGAUCAUGUUAAUCAAAAGAAAAAGAAUAGAAAAAGAAAUAAGGAUUCUACAUCGUUCCUCACAUGCAAAACAUACUCUGUAGCAAGUCGGGACAUAACUUGUAUGAAUAGAAGUGUGAGCAUAGUGGCUCAAAUUAAUAAAAAGUUCAGUUUCAAAAAUCCCCAAUAAUUUGUGAAGAUGUCCUAAAGAGAGCUACCCUUCUCACGAUAAUGGUGGUGUUCCGGUCAACUUGCACGUCCAUGUCAAGAUACUUUAUAUUAAAUAUGAAAGAGAUAAUUGCAUAAUAGUUUCAAAUAUGAAGAAAGAAGAGUUCAGUUAAUGGGAAUAGUCCAAAAUGUCAGAGGAUUAUGGUUGGUUCUUUACAUAAAGCUUUAUGGUUUAUGGUUAGUAACUUUAAAAGUCAAACAUGGCAUGGCUUGGUAAGAGGAAAGAACACGUGCUAUAUUACCUUAUCAAUAAAGAACACCAGACAUGUUAUCCCUUUAUACUAACAAAGACUCACACAAGCGUACUAAAGAAGUUAAAAAAAAAAAAAAAAAAAGAAGUCAAUCACAAGCUUAUCACGAGGUCGACAUUUGCGUAAAAAAAGAAAUCGUAUUCAGGAAUUUGCUUUCAAUUAUUUAUUCACCUUGAGUAUAUCAUAAACGGGUUACUAACAUGAAAAGACACAUAAGCAGCUAAGAAUUUAAACAAGCUCCGAACUUAUCAAGGACCAAAGCAACUAGCUACAAUGACACUCAAAAACUCUCAGAAUGACAUUCUGAUUAUCAACAUAGUUCAUGCCUAAGUGUUUAAACAUUUUAGAUCCUUUUUCACGCUAAAUGAGAGGCAGCCAAUAGCCCGACCAGACACAGAUGUAACUACAUAAUUACUGUCACUUCAGUAUUUAAAUCGACAUCAUAUUAAAUAGCUCACUGUACUAAAACAAUUCGAACAUCAUGGAGGUUAUUUCGAGCUAAGAGAACACACAGAUGACAUAGUAAAUAAACUGGAUACGCUUUAGUUUCCAAGCCUUUUAGAGCCUUGAUCAUGCUAAAUUAAAGGCUGUCGAGACCUUGUAAACGAAUGGACAAGUAUAGAAAGAGCUAAAACAGCUACUGUGAUGUGCAAACACCCAAACCGACAUAACGAUUAUCCCAAAAUAGGUAACCAAUCACACUAAAAAAUACUUAAAAAUUCAUAGAAAUUAAUCAGUUAAAUUGCAAGUCGCAAACACACAUAAUCCCAAAAUAAUAAAAUGAUUUGUUUUACAUCUUUAUAUCCAAAACCAGUCGGCUAUCAUCCCAACUAACCACCGAUAAACAGUUAACAAAACUAAGUGUAACGUAAUUAAGACGGGAAAGGAUUUGCUCUUAUAGGUGUUCACAAAACCACUUCCGACCCGCAUCGAAACAUAAAAAAUGAAAGAAACAUAAAACUAGGAAUGACCAACACCUAUACACCUAUAGGUACAUAACCACAUAUUCUCACACAGAACAUCUUUUUGAAUCAAAAUUACAAUUUUAUCCACAAGACAAAAAACAGCAACAACAACACAAACUCGAAAUCAAGGUGUCCCAUGCUCGUAGAAUCAAAAUAGAUGAAGGGAAGGAAAAUAAAAUGAAAGAGGACAGAAUUCGCACCUUUUUCGGGGCAGCGAACCAGGGAGUUUCUCGUCGGAAAUUCGAACUCGAACUCGUGCUCGGACUUACCCUCGAACUUGAAAAUCGGACGGAAAAUAGCGAAAGUAAUAGUAUGAACUUGCUUAUGCUAAUUUAAUAACUUCUUUUAGUGAUUCUUCCUUGUUGCUUGCUUUUCUUGCUGCCCAAAAAAUGAGAGCCCAAAGGCUCUUUUAUAGCCAAAUUGAGGAGCUCAACGGCUAUCAAGUGAGGCUUCCAAGAAUUCAAAUUUUGAACUCUUGGGAAGCCCAAAUCACAGAGGCAAACAGGGAGAUGAAAUUGGAGAAGGAAAGGACAAAAAAUUUUCACCUUUUCAGGUUGAGAUGAAAGGGGUAAAGAGACGGUUCAAGAUGGAAGGCUUGAAACCAUCGGUAUUGAUGAAUAACAACCUCAAAUCCGAUGGUUCUUCAAUUCUUCCACCUCUCCCAGAAAUGGCAGAGAGCUUUGUAGCUCUGUUUUGAGAAGACAAAAGCUGUGAGAGUGAUGAGUGAAGUGACGGGGCGGACAAAACAGAGAAAGAGUGAAGUUGAAAGACUACAACCACCGGAACUCGCCAUUAUCCGGUGGUUAGAGAGUUAAUCGACGCUGCAGAGAAAAGAGAAGAAGACUAUAGAUGUUGUUCAAUAAUUGGAUCUUUGGGCCGGGUCUUGGUAUUUUAAGUUGCUGGGCGUAUUUUGUUGUUGGGCUUCAUAUUUUUGAGGUAUUGGGCUGGUAUUCUUGCUGAAAAACAAAGAGUAAAUGGCCCAAAGAUAUGUAAAGGUAG